AUUGAACGCUGGCGGAAUGCUUUACACAUGCAAGUCGAACGGCAGCACGGGGCAACCUGGUGGCGAGGUGGCGAACGGGUGAGUAAUACAUCGGAACGUGCCCAAUCGUGGGGGAUAACGUAGCGAAAGUUACGCUAAUACCGCAUACGAUCUACGGAUGAAAGCGGGGGAUCGCAAGACCUCGCGCGAAUGGAGCGGCCGAUGUCAGAUUAGGUAGUUGGUGGGGUAAAGGCUCACCAAGCCGACGAUCUGUAGCUGGUCUGAGAGGACGACCAGCCACACUGGGACUGAGACACGGCCCAGACUCCUACGGGAGGCAGCAGUGGGGAAUUUUGGACAAUGGGGCGCAAGCCUGAUCCAGCCAUUCCGCGUGCAGGAUGAAGGCCUUCGGGUUGUAAACUGCUUUUGUACGGAACGAAACGGUUCUCUCUAAUACAGGGGGCUAAUGACGGUACCGUAAGAAUAAGCACCGGCUAACUACGUG
Molecule: ribosomal RNA, 484 nt
Filed under: uncultured bacterium
Lineage: Bacteria
Description: bacterial SSU rRNA
Rfam family: Bacterial small subunit ribosomal RNA
Source: RNAcentral